Molecule: long non-coding RNA, 1789 nt
Filed under: Homo sapiens (human)
Lineage: Eukaryota; Metazoa; Chordata; Mammalia; Primates; Hominidae
Description: HSALNT0061433
Source: RNAcentral
GAGACUGAGUCUCGCUCUGUUGCCCAGGCUGGAGUGCAGUGGUGAUCUCGGCUCACUGCAAGCUCCGCCUCCCGGGUUCACGCCAUUCUCCUGCCUCAGCUGGGACCAUGCCUGGCUAAUUUUUUUUGUAUUUUUAUAGAGUCAGGGUUUCACCGUGUUGCCCAGGCUGGUGUCGAACUCCUGACCUCAGGUGAUCUGCCCACCUCAGCCUCCCGAAGUGCUGGGAUUACAGGUGUGAGCCACCGCACCCGGCUCUAUUUAGCUUUUUAAAAAUUAUUUCCUUUCAAGGGCCCUUUAAUAUCUAUCAAGCUCCCUCCCCUAACAAAAUGGGCUGUCCCUGCCCAACAAGUCUGAAAUAGACCUUAAAACUGUGCUGCCUUAGUGGUAAGUAAGGGGUGGGGGUUGGACAGUGAAUCUUAAGAUUUCAUCCUUCAUUCAGUAAGCAUUUGAGUACCUACUGUGAGCAGGCAUUGGGGCGGAGCAGCGAGAGCCCUGCCGAUGUUGGGUUCUCCUCCUAUUGGGGAAACUUGAUCACAGAUGGAACACGUGCAGAUUGAUUGAUGAGUGCUGUGGAGAAAGCAGCAGCGUAGCGGGACCGUUUGGGAAAGGCUACUUUGGCUGGGGGUGGCUGGGAAAGGCCCCUCUGGGAAAGAGACAGUUUUACUGAGUCAGAUGGUGGAAAGACAGAUGUCUCUAUACUUUCUUAACAAGCCACUCUGUCCCAUAACAUGCACUUGGAAUCUCUCCUAAGUUCCAGAGGCCCCACUGUUCCAGUUUCAAGCCUUCAUUUUGGAGUCUGUUUGGGAACUUUUAAGACUUCAAAGCAAAGUUAGCUACCAGCAAUUUCUGUAAACCAAGAGAAGAUUGUCACAAAGAUUCACUACUUUCCAACUGAAUCUAUGCAGUAGAAAAAUCAUUAGAAAAUACAAAAAUUAGCCGGGCGUGGUGGCACAUGCCUGUAGUCCCAGCUACUCGGGAGGCUGAGGCAGGAGAAUCACUUGAACCCAGGAGGCGGAGGUUGCAGUGAGCCAAGAUCCCGCCACUGCACUCCAGCCCAGGUGACAGAGCAGGACUCUGUCUCAAAAAAAGAAAAAAGAAAGAAAGAAAAAUGAUUAGAAAUUGAGAACUAUUUUACGUGUUUCUAAGUUGUUGGCUACAUCAAAGAGAUCAUCUGUAUUCUGCAUAUGGGCUGGCUUUGGUGAAGCUGAUGACUGGACUUCUAAGAACCGUUUUCCCAAAUGGGUUCCCAUAUUCAUGCACCCAAAGCAAUGGUCCCCAAGCACUGAUGAAAACUAAUAUGCAUUUCCCAAAGACCCACACUAUGUAUCAGGAGCCUGCACCAUGCCAUUUGAAUGACCCUCAGCAAUGUGCCUCCCUGCCCUCAAAUUCCCAGUUGAUAACAGUGUUUGAUUAAAUUUCCACUCAAGCCAAACAUGGUUACUAAGAAGAGAAAAACCUGAUGUUUGCAUAAUAUUUUUUUUCCCCUCGAGAUGGAGUCUUGCUCUGUUGCCCAGGCUGGAGUGCAGUGGCAUGAUCUCAGCCACUGCAACCUCUGCCUCCCGGGUUCAAGCGAUUCUUCUGCCUCAGCCUCCCAAGUAGUUGGGAUUACAGACAUGUGCCACCACGCCUGGCUAAUUUUUGUAUUUUUAGUAGAGACAGGGUUUCACCAUGUUGACCACACUGGUCUUGAACUUCUAACCAUGUGAUCUGCCUGCCUCGGCCUCCCAAAGUGCUGGGAUUACAGGCUUGAGCCACCACGCCCAGCCUAAGAUUUUAUGAUUAAAAAAAA